AAUAUAGUGCUGACACUUCCCUUCACACAUGUUUCGCAAGAAACAGACGUUCAGCUCCAAAUUCAAUCAACAAAAAUAGGACAUCCACAUAUAUCAAUCAAAACCAUGAGAGUAACAUCGCAGAACUGAAAAAUAAUCAAAACUGAGGCAUCGAACCAUCAUGUAAGCAACAAAAUAAAAUAGAGAAAGUAGAAACUGGAUAACGAAAUUUUAAAGAGACAAAGGAAAAAUUAUUACACAUUUAAAACUAAUAGAGCACCCAGUGACGAUUAUAGCAUUUAAAAUUGCAAAUUUCAUACCUAAAAUGUGAAUAAAAAUAAAAAUAAAAGAAACACAGAACUCAAACCAAAUCGCCACAGGAACUUUAGCAACUGAACAUCGCUUGAAAUUGAAAAAGGUCUGACCCUGUUUUCGGCUCGUCCAGAUCUGUUCUCACUAUGGUUCACUUAAUUUUUCCGGACUGAAAUUCCAUGCCUCUGUUUGUAUGUGUGUGCGCAUUCAGCAACGGAAAAGAAGCAACAUCAUAUGAGGGCUUCUGAAUUAUAUCUCUUUCCAGAAGAAGAUCAAAAUUGUAAGGCGCUCGUUACAGGUCAAAGAAUGAGCUGAGCGAUGGGUGAACUGAAGAAGAUGAUGACUGGGGGGUGGGGUCAUUUUUUUGGUUCUUGUUACUGUUGACGCUUAGAGAAUUGCUGAAGCUUUCUUUACAUUUUUUGAAGAAGAAGACAAAAUCGGUGGGGGAAAGGGACCCCUGAUUUAAAUCUUCGCUCCUCCUCUCAUUUUUAGUGUAUAUGUAUAGGUCUAGGUUUUCU
RNAcentral lists this long non-coding RNA (809 nucleotides) under Nicotiana benthamiana. RNAcentral's name for it is "long non-coding RNA (NBEN_LNC012981)". The record is from RNAcentral. Lineage: Eukaryota; Viridiplantae; Streptophyta; Magnoliopsida; Solanales; Solanaceae.